AUUCGUCUUGCCUGCCGACAUUUAAAUGCAGGCCCGCCCUGUGCGCGGAGAGGCCGCGGAUUUAGAAGCCAAAUCGAUUUAUGGGGCGGAGAAAGGAAC
Molecule: non-coding RNA, 99 nt
Filed under: unclassified sequences
Description: GP20-a RNA
Rfam family: GP20-a RNA
About the family: gut metagenomes. Environment (Cow rumen (57))
Source: RNAcentral